RNAcentral lists this ribosomal RNA (433 nucleotides) under uncultured bacterium. RNAcentral's name for it is "partial 16S ribosomal RNA". It matches the Rfam family "Bacterial small subunit ribosomal RNA", at positions 29 to 507 of the family's 1533-position model. The record is from RNAcentral.
AACGAACGCUGGCGGCAUGCCUAACACAUGCAAGUCGAACGAUGCCUUCUGGUCUUGUGGCGCACGUGAGCGUAACGCAACGGAACCUUCCCUUGUGUUCGGUCUACCUCUCCGAGAGGGAUACUAAUUGCGGAUAAUUGCUUCUACCCAAUGAUUUAUCUGCUUUGAAUGUGUACGUGUGGAAUUUGCUGUUUGGUAGGUUAAAGGCCUACCAAGGCGAUGUUACAUAGCUGGUCUGAGAGGAUGAUCAGCAACACUGGGACUGAGACACGGCCCAGACUCCUACGGGAGGAAGAAGUGGGGAAUAAUGGACAAUGGGCGAAAGCCUGAGCCAGCAAGGCCGCGUGAGUGAGGAAGGACUUAGGGUUGUAAAGCUCUGUUAACAGGGAUGAAAAUGACAGUACCGGGAGAAUAAGCGCCGGCUAACUACGUG